GUUUCAACGGCUGUCGUAACUAUGACAACCAAGGACACUCACGGCUAACGGUAGCCAGUUAACGUGACCGUUAACCGGCCCGGCUCCACGUCAGUAUUCCCCCGGGGCCUGGAAACCUGUUCUUCUUCUUCCCGUGUUGUGACGUCACUCGAGUAUCAAGCCAAACUCCACGUGCCUCGGGUCUGAGGUUAUACAAACACCUUUGGAAGAGCUACAAAGCUCACGGACGGUGAGGAUUCGUACGAGCAUGGCCUCCAUUGUGCUGCUGUCCAGAGCGGUGGACGAGAACCACAGAGGGCUGCCGGGGACACAACAGCGAUCCGGCUGGAGGUAGAAUAAGCCGGCACGUUGUUUUACCGACUCUGAGCUGGUUGGACGGAGAGAAAACAUAAAAUUAAAGAUGGUCACUGAGUUUAGUGACAGGAGGCAAAAAAAAAAGUGAUGUGCAGUAAAAAUGAGACACAGCUGUCUGUAGAUACAGGAGAGACUCUGCUUGUUCAUUCUGACUGUUUACAUAAUAUACAACAAGUUCAUCAGUCAU
Molecule: long non-coding RNA, 541 nt
Organism: Larimichthys crocea (large yellow croaker)
Lineage: Eukaryota; Metazoa; Chordata; Actinopteri; Sciaenidae
Exons: 3
Source: RefSeq, a predicted model, not a curated record